Molecule: long non-coding RNA, 414 nt
Organism: Octodon degus (degu)
Lineage: Eukaryota; Metazoa; Chordata; Mammalia; Rodentia; Octodontidae
Exons: 3
Source: RefSeq, a predicted model, not a curated record
AAAAAAGUCAAGAUACCAAAAGUUGAGGAGGUCAGGUGGAACCUCGCGCCUGCAGGAGAAAGGACUGCCGAACAACUGAGAAUCGUAACUCAACUGCCCAAGACCAUAGAAGGUAUAAAUCACAAAACCAAGAUUCAAGUCCAGACUUUCUGAAUUCAAAACCAGUGUUCUUCUUAAUCUCUGGCUUUUAGAACUUCUGAUGAAAGUUUGCAACUGAAUAAAAUUACAGCUAUGACCAGAAUGACAGUCUGCAGGAACAAUACUGCUCCUCAGUGAGAUUGGAUGAAUUAGAAGAAAUUCUUCAAAUGAAAAGCUCUGUAUUAUAGAAGAUUUCAAUGUUCUGAGCAAACAGAAACACUGGGAGGAAAAUGAAAGAAUGCUAUAGCUGGAAGGAACCUUCUCUUUUUCCAAACA